Molecule: ribosomal RNA, 253 nt
Filed under: uncultured bacterium
Lineage: Bacteria
Description: partial 16S ribosomal RNA
Rfam family: Bacterial small subunit ribosomal RNA
Source: RNAcentral
UACAGAGGGUGCGAGCGUUAAUCGGAAUUACUGGGCGUAAAGCGCGCGUAGGCGGCUUUGUAAGUUAGAGGUGAAAGCCCGGGGCUCAACCCCGGAAUUGCCUUUAAGACUGCAUCGCUUGAAUCCGGGAGAGGUGAGUGGAAUUCCGAGUGUAGAGGUGAAAUUCGUAGAUAUUCGGAAGAACACCAGUGGCGAAGGCGGCUCACUGGACCGGUAUUGACGCUGAGGUGCGAAAGCGUGGGGAGCAAACAGG